GAGCCUAUUGCCAGUCGUGUGCAUAGAGAGCUGAUGAAAGAGGGGGUAAUGCCCACUUGUAGCAUCAUUUUUCGAUCCAGUCAUACGGACAAGAAAGGCAGACCGAUGACGCCACGAUCAAAAAGAUUUUUCUAGAUGUGCUUGCGA
This is a non-coding RNA of Elaeis guineensis (African oil palm), 147 nucleotides long. NCBI's taxonomy places the organism in Eukaryota, Viridiplantae, Streptophyta, Magnoliopsida, Arecales, Arecaceae. The record is from RefSeq and is a predicted model, not a curated record.